GCAGACACAUUCCAGCCAAUCAGCAGCAGACCCUCCCUCCAAGACCCUCCCACCUCCUGGACAGCAUCCAUUUUGAAGCUGCAUACUUAGUGAGCUGUCCAGGAGGUGGGAGGGUCUGGGAGUGAGGGUCUGCUGCUGAUUGGCUGGAAUGUGUCUG
Molecule: microRNA precursor, 157 nt
Filed under: Pelobates cultripes (western spadefoot toad)
Lineage: Eukaryota; Metazoa; Chordata; Amphibia; Anura; Pelobatidae
Source: RNAcentral